GUUCUGCAGGAAUGGUUUCUGAAUGUCUCAUGGCCAAGACAUAGAUGUCUGAUGUCUUCAGUUCUGUUCUCCCUUUGAGGUGAAGGAAUAACCAGGGUGAAAACAAAGAAAAAAAUCCCCCCCCAAAAGUUAGAAGAUGUUUCAGGGAUUCUACUUCUUUCCAAAGGUUCAUUUAUUAGAGAUUUCUGU
This is a long non-coding RNA of Empidonax traillii (willow flycatcher), 189 nucleotides long. RefSeq lists it as uncharacterized. The transcript has 3 exons. Lineage: Eukaryota; Metazoa; Chordata; Aves; Passeriformes; Tyrannidae. The record is from RefSeq and is a predicted model, not a curated record.